CCUACGGGAGGCAGCAGUGGGGAAUAUUGGGCAAUGGGCGCAAGCCUGACCCAGCAACGCCGCGUGAGGGAAGAAGGCUUUCGGGUUGUAAACUUCUUUUCUCAGGGACGAAGAAAGUGACGGUACCUGAGGAAUAAGCCACGGCUAACUACGUGCCAGCAGCCGCGGUAAUACGUAGGGGGCAAGCGUUAUCCGGAUUUAUUGGGUGUAAAGGGUGAGUAGGCGGGACUGUAAGUCAGAUGUGAAAACCCCGGGCUCAAACUGUGGCCUGCAUUUGAAACUGUAGUUCUUGAGUACUGGAGAGGCAGACGGAAUUCCUAGUGUAGCGGUGAAAUGCGUAGAUAUUAGGAGGAACACCAGUGGCGAAGGCGGUCUGCUGGACAGCAACUGACGCUGAGGCGCGAAAGCGUGGGGAGCAAACAGGAUUAGAUACCCUAGUAGUC
RNAcentral lists this ribosomal RNA (443 nucleotides) under uncultured bacterium. Its description in RNAcentral is "partial 16S ribosomal RNA". It matches the Rfam family "Bacterial small subunit ribosomal RNA", at positions 338 to 795 of the family's 1533-position model. The record is from RNAcentral.